ACGCUGGCGGCGCGGCCUAACACAUGCAAGUCGAACGAGCGAGAGAGAGCUUGCUUUCUCGAGCGAGUGGCGAACGGGUGAGUAACGCGUGAGGAACCUGCCUCAAAGAGGGGGGACAACAGUUGGAAACGACUGCUAAUACCGCAUAAGCCCACGACCCGGCAAUCCGGGGUUUGAGGGAAAAGGAGCAAUCCGCUUUGAGAUGGCCUCGCGUCCGAUUAGCUAGUUGGUGAGGUAACGGCCCACCAAGGCGACGAUCAGUAGCCGGCCUGAGAGGGUGAACGGCCACAUUGGGACUGAGACACGGCCCAAACUCCUACGGGAGGCAGCAGUGGGGAAUAUUGCACAAUGGGGGAAACCCUGAUGCAGCGACGCCGCGUGAGUGAAGAAGUAUUUCGGUAUGUAAAGCUCUAUCAGCAGGGAAGAAAAUGACGGUACCUGACUAAGAAGCCCCGGCUAACUACGUG
Molecule: ribosomal RNA, 467 nt
Filed under: uncultured bacterium
Lineage: Bacteria
Description: bacterial SSU rRNA
Rfam family: Bacterial small subunit ribosomal RNA
Source: RNAcentral